Molecule: long non-coding RNA, 2747 nt
Organism: Felis catus (domestic cat)
Lineage: Eukaryota; Metazoa; Chordata; Mammalia; Carnivora; Felidae
Exons: 3
Source: RefSeq, a predicted model, not a curated record
GUCCCUAUGAGAAAACCGUAUUAGUCCGCGGGAAGUUUUCUUUGGGGUUGCAGAAAUUUGGUUUACGGAGCUCGGCUUGGGAAAUGUCUUCAAUGCAUCAGGUAUCCACCUCUUUAUCUGAUGUGAUCCACUAUUAUCCAGUAUUAUCACCCAGCUUCUCUAACCUCAUCUACCAAACAAUUUGUGCUUUCUUGUCAUUGGUAGGGCACUGUGCUAGUCAGAGGAAGAGAACAAAAUAAGCUGUCCCCACCUUGUUGGAUGGUAGUGGCCCACGGAGGAGACCGUCAUUAAACCAGGAACACAAGUAAUCCUGUAAUUUGUGCCAAGAACCUUGAAAGUGAGAAUUUAAGAGGGUGGAACAGGGAAAUCUACAUUCGGUAAGGGGAGCAGAAGACCUGUCUGACAAGCAGAUGGUUAUGCUGGAGCUUUGCCAUUUUAGGACUCUUUCCGGUACAAGUGCAGAAAUCCAAUCCAAGAGAGCUUAAGCCAAAAACGGAAAACUGCUGUGUAUAAGUAACUCAAGAGCCUUGGAUGGGGCUCAGGGGAGGGAGCAUCAGGAGUGACUGUUUGUGGGGACACAAAAAUGUUUGGGAACUAGACAGAGGUGCUGGUUGUACAACACUGGAAAUGUACUAAGUGCCACUGAUCUGUACGCUUCAAAAUGGUUACUUUUAUGUGACAUACAUUUCACCUCAAUUUAAAAAAAAAAAAGUGCCUGUGAUUCUACGGCGAGGAUCCCAGAUCAUUAGGAACGGCCUCUGUGGGUGAAGUAGUUAGUAACAUCCAGCGGGAGAAGGACAGAUGUGUUCUGACCCUGUUCACCAAGGUUCCUUAAUGCUCCGAUGGCACUCUAAGUCAGAUACGGGAAUGAUGCACCCGCAGUCUCCUGACAUGACCCGCAAAAACCGUCCAGAACCAUCUAGUUACCACCUUCUGUGUAUGGAAGUCACGGUGUUUGCUGAUCUUUGGUGGGUAGCUUCAUCUGUGAUCUGUGCCUGGCUGACACAUUACAACCUUGGGACCAGACGGUGACAACCCACAAAUCUUGGUGUGUGCAAGUAGCUUCCUGUGGGGUUCCCUGUUGAUGGCAGGGGUUAAGGAUAUGGUGAGUGGGCAUGGGUACCCAUUCUCAUUUCCUUCUAAGUGUGCCUGCUGGGGCUGGAACGCUGACUACUGCAUUUCCCAGGCUUCCUUGCUUCUAGGGUUCUGGAAUCAAAUUAGGCCCUCCAGUUAGAUGCACUUGGGUAAGAUUUGGCAGACAGAGGAGAAGAGGGCACAUCUUCCUGAUGCUUUGCAUAUUGUGCCAGCAAAAGCACUGUGUGUCUCUUUUGUUUGUUUGGUUUUGUUUUUUGUUUUUUUGGGUUUUUUGUAGGCCGUCCAAUGCCCAGCACCAGAUCCAUAAAUGAGCAUAACACUUGGAAAUAGAGGCACCUGGGUGGCUCAGUCGGUUAAGCUUCCAACUCUUGAUUUCGGCUCGGGUCGUGAUCUCAGUUUGUGGGAUCCAGCCCCAUGUUGGGCUCUGUGCUGACAGCUCAGAGUCUGCUUGGCAUCCUCUCUCUCCUCUCUCUGCUCCUCCCCAGCUUAUGCUCUCUCUGUCUCUCAAAAUAAAUAAACAUUAAAAAAAAAGUGGAAAUAAAGCAAAUUCACAUUUUUGUCACCUGUCCUUCAUGUUGCCAUCUCUACCUGGAAAGAACCUAAAGGGGACAGGACACAAGGAUCAGCAUCUUGGCACAGUGAUUCAGGAAGGCAUGGCUGCUGCUAGGACUGUUGUCACCUAAGUGGGUGACACCUGGCCCAGACCUUCUAAGAAUGGGCUGACCAUUUGGAAAGGAAGUCCUUGAAUGAACACCACGGCCGGGCCUGUGUGCAUUGGCUAUUGUAAAGGGCUAGGUUUGGGAUGGGAGCUAGGGACAGGUGGCAAGAUGAGAUGGAGAUAAAGCCCAGAGUGCCACGAGCCAGGAUCCAAGAAAAGAGCUUCCCCAGGAUUUGCACGAGAGAGAGACCAGACAAUGGAGAAUUAAGAAAAGCCUGGAAAGGCAGGAUGCCUGCCAAGACGGGAGCCCAUCCCUGUGUUCUCAUUUGCAUCCACCCUGGUAGUGAGUAGAAAAGAGCCACCGCUCACCUGGUCAAGGGGAGGGAUCCUGGCCAAAGACGUCCUGGUGAAUCAGUUACUGCAGGGGCACAGCGGAUGUUCCCCCAUCGUUUUUGGACUCUCCGGGGUCUCAGUAGGAGGCAGUGCCUAUGUCCCACUAUAGAUGCCAAAGGGGCCAGGGAUUCUCAACCUCCUGGCAGCUGGAAAACGCCCCUGACCCAAUCUCAGCCAAUCACAUGCUUCCUCCCACCUGGAACUUUGAAUCUUCGGGGAAUAAUGCGAAUACAGAGGGUGUAUUGAGAAAUUACUCUGGCAGCUGCAGCUGCUGGUCAUCCCAACUGGAGGGUUCCUGGGGCAGAACCUUGGCUGUGUCUCCACUGCCGAGCCCACCUUGAUCUCGCUCUUGGAGACCCCAGGUACUUGCUGCUUUUCUGCUCAGCCAUUCUCAGCAUGUGGCUGCCACCCUCAAAGUGACUUCAUUGUCUCAAGAUGACAGCUGAGCUCUACCCAUCACAUCGGCAUUUCAGGUACAAGAAAAGGAGAAUCAAAGGGCAAAAAGGCACGCCUUCCAGCUGAGUCAGGCCCUUUUUUUUUUUUUUUAAUUUUUUUUUUUCAACGUUUAUUUAUUUUUGGGACAGAGAGAGACAGAGCAUGA